Molecule: ribosomal RNA, 352 nt
Filed under: uncultured bacterium
Lineage: Bacteria
Description: bacterial SSU rRNA
Rfam family: Bacterial small subunit ribosomal RNA
Source: RNAcentral
CGCUAAUACCGCAUACGACCUACGGGUGAAAGCAGGGGACCGCAAGGCCUUGCGUCGAUGGAGCGGCCGAUGUCGGAUUAGCUAGUUGGUGGGGUAAAGGCUCACCAAGGCGACGAUCCGUAGCUGGUCUGAGAGGACGACCAGCCCACACUGGGACUGAGACACGGCCCAGACUCCUACGGGAGGCAGCAGUGGGGAAUCUUGGACAAUGGGCGCAAGCCUGAUCCAGCAAUGCCGCGUGUGGGAAGAAGGCCUUCGGGUUGUAAACCACUUUUGGCAGGAAAGAAAUCGUCCGUGCUAAUACCAUGGAUGGAUGACGGUACCUGCAGAAUAAGCACCGGCUAACUACGUG